ACGACUCUAGAUCAGGACUGUCUUCAGCUGGUUUUGGUAGAGUCCCAUCUAUGAACCCAUUCUUCUUCUUAGCUCUCAGUGCAUUCAUCAUCUCCAUGGCCCAUUCAUUGUAAUUGUCUCCCUUAAGUUGAACGGACGUGAUGAGCGCACCAGGAUUGUCUGAACUGAACAGCGAGUAUGGCGAAACCUUCAUCACCUCACCUUGUUUUACUAUCAAUUGCUUUGAUUCGUC
This 232-nucleotide long non-coding RNA is filed under the name Brassica napus (rape). RNAcentral's name for it is "long non-coding RNA (BNAP_LNC021232)". The record is from RNAcentral. Lineage: Eukaryota; Viridiplantae; Streptophyta; Magnoliopsida; Brassicales; Brassicaceae.